Molecule: ribosomal RNA, 400 nt
Filed under: uncultured bacterium
Lineage: Bacteria
Description: bacterial SSU rRNA
Rfam family: Bacterial small subunit ribosomal RNA
Source: RNAcentral
GGGGAAUCUUGCACAAUGGGGGCAACCCUGAUGCAGCGACGCCGCGUGAGCGAUGAAGCCCUUCGGGGCGUAAAGCUCUUUCGACCGGAACGAUAAUGACGGUACCGGGAGAAGAAGCUGCGGCUAACUACGUGCCAGCAGCCGCGGUAAUACGUAGGCAGCAAGCGCUGUUCGGAGUUACUGAGCGUAAAGAGUGCGUAGGCGGUUUUCUAAGUUCGGUGUGAAAUCUCCCGGCUUAACUGGGAGGGUGCGCCGAAGACUGGGAAGCUGGAGUGUGGGAAAGGCAGGCGGAAUUCCUGGUGUAGCGGUGAAAUGCGUAGAUAUCAGGAGGAACACAGGCGGUGUAGACGGCUUGCUAGACCAUAACUGACGCUGAGGCACGAAAGCGUGGGUAGCAAAC